AGAGUUUGAUCAUGGCUCAGAUUGAACGCUGGCGGCAUGCCUUACACAUGCAAGUCGAACGGUAACAGGUUAAGCUGACGAGUGGCGAACGGGUGAGUAAUGUAUCGGAACGUGCCCAGUAGUGGGGGAUAGCCCGGCGAAAGCCGGAUUAAUACCGCAUACGACCUACGGGUGAAAGCGGGGGAUCGCAAGACCUCGCGCUAUUGGAGCGGCCGAUAUCAGAUUAGGUAGUUGGUGAGGUAAAGGCUCACCAAGCCGACGAUCUGUAGCUGGUCUGAGAGGACGACCAGCCACACUGGGACUGAGACACGGCCCAGACUCCUACGGGAGGCAGCAGUGGGGAAUUUUGGACAAUGGACGCAAGUCUGAUCCAGCCAUGCCGCGUGCGGGAAGAAGGCCUUCGGGUUGUAAACCGCUUUUGUCAGGGAAGAAAAGUCUGGAGCUAAUAUCUCCGGACGAUGACGGUACCUGAAGAAUAAGCACCGGCUAACUACGUGCCAGCAGCCGCGGUGAUACGUAGGGUGCAAGCGUUAAUCGGAAUUACUGGGCGUAAAGCGUGCGCAGGCGGUUCUAUAAGACAGAUGUGAAAUCCCCGGGCUCAACCUGGGAACUGCAUUUGUGACUGUAGAGCUGGAGUGCGGCAUAGGGGGAUGGAAUUCCGCGUGUAUCAGUGAAAUGCGUAGAUAUGCGGAGGAACACCGAUGGCGAAGGCAAUCCCCUGGGCCUGCACUGACGCUCAUGCACGAAAGCGUGGGGAGCAAACAGGAUUAGAUACCCUGGUAGUCCACGCCCUAAACGAUGUCAACUGGUUGUUGGGAAGGUUCCUUCUCAGUAACGUAGCUAACGCGUGAAGUUGACCGCCUGGGGAGUACGGCCGCAAGGUUGAAACUCAUAGGAAUUGAUGGGGACCCGCACAAGCGUGGAUGAUGUGGUUUAAUUCGAUGCAUCGCGAAAACCUUACCUACCCUGACAUGUCUA
This 978-nucleotide ribosomal RNA is filed under the name uncultured bacterium. Its description in RNAcentral is "bacterial SSU rRNA". It matches the Rfam family "Bacterial small subunit ribosomal RNA", at positions 8 to 992 of the family's 1533-position model. The record is from RNAcentral.